UACGAGGGGGGGCGAGCGUUGUUCGGAAUUAUUGGGCGUAAAGGGUGCGUAGGCGGUUUGGUAAGUCUGAUGUGAAAUCUAUGGGCUCAACUCAUAGUCUGCAUCGGAAAACUGCCGGGCUUGAGUGUGGGAGAGGUGAGUGGAAUUCCUGGUGUAGCGGUGAAAUGCGUAGAUAUUUCGCAAGAACACCAGUGGCGAAGGCGGCUCACUGGCCCGAUACUGACGCUGAGGCACGAAAGCGUGGGGAGCAAACAGG
This 256-nucleotide ribosomal RNA is filed under the name uncultured bacterium. Its description in RNAcentral is "partial 16S ribosomal RNA". It matches the Rfam family "Bacterial small subunit ribosomal RNA", at positions 524 to 776 of the family's 1533-position model. The record is from RNAcentral.